GACGAACGCUGGCGGCGUGCUUAACACAUGCAAGUCGAACGGUGAACCCGCUUCGGUGGGGGAGUCAGUGGCGAACGGGUAGAGUAACACGUGGGCGAACCUGCCCUCAGCUCUGGGAGUAACUCCAAGAAAUUAGGGGCGUAAUACCGGAUAUGACCGCUGACCGCAUGGUCUGGUGGUGGAAAGAUUUAUCGGCUGGGGAUGGGCCCGCGGCCUAUCAGCUUGUUGGUGGGGUAGUGGCCUACCAAGGCGACGACGGGUAGCCGGCCUGAGAGGGUGACCGGCCACACUGGGACUGAGACACGGCCCAGACUCCUACGGGAGGCAGCAGUGGGGAAUAUUGCGCAAUGGGCGAAAGCCUGACGCAGCGACG
Molecule: ribosomal RNA, 373 nt
Filed under: uncultured bacterium
Lineage: Bacteria
Description: bacterial SSU rRNA
Rfam family: Bacterial small subunit ribosomal RNA
Source: RNAcentral